GAUGAACGCUGGCGGCGUACCUAAUACAUGCAAGUCGAGCGAACAGACGAGGAGCUUGCUCCUCGGACGUGAGCGGCGGACGGGUGAGUAACACGUGUAUAACCUACCUAUAAGACUGGGAUAACUUCGGGAAACCGGAGCUAAUACCGUAUAAUAUAUUGAACCGCGUGGUGCAAUAGUGAAAGUCGGUUUUUGUGUCAGUUAUAGAUGGAUCUGCGCCUCAUUAGCUAGUUGGUAAGGUAACGGCUUACCAAGGCAACGAUGCGUAGCCGACCGGAUGGGCUGGUCGCCCACAUGGGAGCUGGACCAGCGUCCAGACUCCUGCGGGAGGGAGCAGUAGGGAACCUGCCGCAAUGGGGGAAAGCCUGACGGAGCAGCGCCGCGUGAGUGGUGAAGGUCUUCGGAUCGUAAAGACCUGUUAUUAGGGAAAAACAAAUGUGUAAGUAACUAUGCCCGUCUUGACGGUACCUAAUAAGAAAGCAACGGCUAACUACGUG
RNAcentral lists this ribosomal RNA (497 nucleotides) under uncultured bacterium. RNAcentral describes it as "partial 16S ribosomal RNA". It matches the Rfam family "Bacterial small subunit ribosomal RNA", at positions 28 to 507 of the family's 1533-position model. The record is from RNAcentral.